UCUUUCCUGUGUAAACACUGUCCCUGUAAUUGCAGCUGCCAGGACCUUGUCUUGGUUUUUAUAAUAAUGCUAGCAGAAGACACCCAAGAAGAAAAGUAACUGCAUUACAUCAGAAAACCGGUGCUGAAACUGUCUUAAAUUCCAAUGUCUUUACUGAAUACAAAUUUAAUGAAUUGAAA
Small nucleolar RNA from Echinops telfairi (small Madagascar hedgehog), 179 nucleotides. NCBI's taxonomy places the organism in Eukaryota, Metazoa, Chordata, Mammalia, Afrosoricida, Tenrecidae. The record is from Ensembl.